AUAAAAUUGAAAUAAUUCGUUAUUUUUAUUUUUUAAGAAAAAGAUUUUUUUAUGUUCAAGUACAUAUUUAGAAAAAAUAAUAUUAUUUAACUGAAAAGGAUUAUAUUUAUAUAAAUAAAAGUAAAUAUUAUAUUGUACCUUUUGUAUCAGGGUAAAUUAAUUAUAUUUAAAAAUUUAUUUUUCCCGAAUUAUGAUGAUUUAAAAUAAAUUGAUUAUUAUUGUUUCAUAAAUAUAAUAAAAUUUAUUUUGGAAAUGAAAUUUUUUCGAAUUAUAAUAUAUCUGGUUUCUUAAAAAUUAAAUUUAAUUUAGAAUAAUUAAUAUAAUUAUUAAUUUAAUUAAAUAUUAUUUAAUUAUUUAAAUAUAUUAAGGAUAAGCUAAAUAUAUUUAUUUAUAUAUAAUAAAUAAUUAAUUAUAAUAGGCUUGAAAUCAGCCAUUUUUAACUAAGUAAUAUUAUAAUUUCUUUUUUAAUUUAUUUUUUUUAUAUUAAGCUAAUAUUAAGAAUUUUUAAAUAAUAAUUUUUAAAUUUAUAAUGAUUUAAUUAGUAAAUUUUUAAUUAUUUUAUUUAUGAAUUAAGCAAAUAUUAUUUUCACCUGUUUAACAAAAACAUGUCUUUUAGAGAAAAAUUAAAAGUCUAAUCUGCCCAAUGAUUUUUGAAUGGCCGCGGUAACUUGACUGUGCAAAGGUAGCAUAAUUAUUAGUCUUUUAAUUGAAGGCUUGAAUGAACGAUUGAAUGAAAAAUAAACUUUAUUAAUAAAAUUAAUUUAAUUUAGUAUUUAAGUAAAAAUUCUUAAAUAAUUAAGUGGGACGAGAAGACCCUAUAGAAUUUAAAUAUUUUUUAUUAUUGUAAAAUUGAAGAAUUAUUAUUUUAAAAUAAAAAAAAUUUUUUUGUUGGGGUGACAUUAAAAAUUAGUUAACUUUUAAUUAAUAUAACAUUAAUAUAUGUUUUUUGAUCCAAUUUUUUUUUGAUUAUAAGAUUUAAUUACCUUAGGGAUAACAGCGUUAUUAAUUUGAAGAGUUCAAAUCGAUAAAUUAGUUUGCGACCUCGAUGUUGGAUUAAGAAAAAAUUUUGAAGCAUCAUUUAAAAUUUUAGGUCUGUUCGACCUUUAAAUUCUUACAUGAUCUGAGUUCAAACCGGCGUGAGCCAGGUUGGUUUCUAUCUACUAAAAAUAUUUUUAAUAUUAGUACGAAAGGACCAUAUUAAAUAAUUUAAUUAU
This 1214-nucleotide ribosomal RNA is filed under the name Planopleura kaempferi. RNAcentral describes it as "16S ribosomal RNA". The stretch from base 990 to 1148 matches the Rfam family "Archaeal large subunit ribosomal RNA", at positions 2542 to 2701 of the family's 2987-position model. The record is from RNAcentral. Lineage: Eukaryota; Metazoa; Arthropoda; Insecta; Hemiptera; Cicadidae.